This 410-nucleotide ribosomal RNA is filed under the name uncultured bacterium. RNAcentral's name for it is "bacterial SSU rRNA". It matches the Rfam family "Bacterial small subunit ribosomal RNA", at positions 508 to 916 of the family's 1533-position model. The record is from RNAcentral.
GCAGCAGCCGCGGUAAGACAGAGGGUGCAAACGUUGUUCGGAAUUACUGGGCGUAAAGAGCGUGUAGGCGGCUAUAUAAGUCGGAUGUGAAAGCCCGUGGCUCAACUGCGGAAGAGCACCCGAAACUGUGUAGCUAGAGUCCCGGAGAGGAAGGUGGAAUGCUUGGUGUAGAGGUGAAAUUCGUAGAUAUCAAGCGGAACACCGGUGGCGAAGGCGGCCUUCUGGACGAGGACUGACGCUGAGACGCGAAAGCGUGGGGAGCAAACAGGAUUAGAUACCCUGGUAGUCCACGCCGUAAACGAUGAGUGCUAGGUGUCACGGGCUUUGACCCUCGUGGUGCCGAAGCUAACGCGUUAAGCACUCCGCCUGGGGAGUACGGCCGCAAGGCUAAAACUCAAAGAAAUUGACGG